RNAcentral lists this ribosomal RNA (520 nucleotides) under uncultured Glomeromycotina. RNAcentral's name for it is "SSU rRNA". It matches the Rfam family "Eukaryotic small subunit ribosomal RNA", at positions 569 to 1087 of the family's 1831-position model. Lineage: Eukaryota; Fungi; Glomeromycota. The record is from RNAcentral.
CGCAGCCGCGGUAAUUCCAGCUCCAAUAGCGUAUAUUAAAGUUGUUGCAGUUAAAAAGCUCGUAGUUGAAUUUCGGGAUUAGUACGCUGGUCAUGCCUUUGGUAUGUACUGGUGUUACUGGUUCCUACCUUCUGAAGAACCGUCAUGUCAUUAAUUUGGUGUGGCGGGGAAUCAGGACUGUUACUUUGAAAAAAUUAGAGUGUUUAAAGCAGGCUCGCGCUUGAAUACAUUAGCAUGGAAUAAUGAAAUAGGACGUUUGACCCUAUUUUGUUGGUUUCUAGGAUCGACGUAAUGAUUAAUAGGGAUAGUUGGGGGCAUUAGUAUUCAAUUGUCAGAGGUGAAAUUCUUGGAUUUAUUGAAGACUAACUACUGCGAAAGCAUUUGCCAAGGAUGUUUUCCAUUAAUCUAAGAACGAAAGUUAGGGGGAUCGAAGACGAUCAGAUACCGUCGUAGUCUUAACCAUAAACUAUGCCGACUAGGGAUCGGAUGAUGUUAUUUUUUAAUGUACUCAUUCGGCGAC